CCUACGGGAGGCUGCAGUGAGGAAUAUUGGUCAAUGGGCGAGAGCCUGAACCAGCCAAGUCGCGUGAGGGAAGACGGUCCUAUGGAUUGUAAACCUCUUUUGUCGGGGAGCAAAAAGGCCUCGUGAGGCCACAAGUGAGAGUACCCGAAGAAAAAGCAUCGGCUAACUCCGUGCCAGCAGCCGCGGUAAUACGGAGGAUACGCGCGUUAGCCGGAUUUAUUGGGUUUAAAGGUUGCGCGGGCGGAAUAUCAGGUCAGCGGUAAAAUUGAGAGGCUCAACCUCUUCGAGCCGUUGAAACUGGAUGUCGUGAGUGAGCGAGAAGUAGGCGGAAUGCGUGGUGUAGCGGUGAAAUGCAUAGAUAUCACGCAGAACUCCGAUUGCGAAGGCAGCAUACCGGCGCUCAACUGACGCUCAUGCACGAAAGUGUGGGUAUCGAACAGGAUUAGAUACCCGUGUAGUC
Molecule: ribosomal RNA, 460 nt
Filed under: uncultured bacterium
Lineage: Bacteria
Description: partial 16S ribosomal RNA
Rfam family: Bacterial small subunit ribosomal RNA
Source: RNAcentral